UAUGCAUACUAUUAUAAGGAAGAAAGGGUUAUAGGCAGAGAUGAUGGUCUGCAGAGGACAGUUGCAUGAGGAAAGAUUCUGGAAUGUUGAAAAGGAAGGUUUGAGUUGAGAACUCAGGAGCUGAGAGUCUCUCUGAGGGUUUGCUAACUGUAAAUACCUGGAAGGAUUUGCUGCCAAAUACUUGAUGGAGUUCCUGUACCUGUCCUUGUUGUUGAUAUCUGUGUUUCCCUUGGAAGAUCUUUGAACCUGAAGCUAGCCUGAAACAACAUCCAGUCAUCAGUAGCAGUCAGAAGACUUAAUGAUUCUUCAAAUUAUUUAGUCAAUGACAAACCAGAAAAAAAGUGACUUCAUCUCAAUCAAAGUGGAUGGGGUGAUGAAGAAAUGGAAGCAAACAGAGGUGAAGUGAUUUAUCCAAGGUCACACGCAGUAAGUGCCUGAAGUGAGAUUUGAAUUCUGGCCUUCCUAACAAUCUAAUUCCUAGGUUUGAGGUCUCAUUAUCCAUACCCAUACAUGACAACUAAUCAACUGACAAACAUGUUU
Molecule: long non-coding RNA, 540 nt
Filed under: Monodelphis domestica (gray short-tailed opossum)
Lineage: Eukaryota; Metazoa; Chordata; Mammalia; Didelphimorphia; Didelphidae
Description: lncRNA (ENSMODG00000050329.1)
Source: RNAcentral